RNAcentral lists this transfer RNA (73 nucleotides) under Ministeria vibrans. RNAcentral describes it as "tRNA-Ile". It matches the Rfam family "tRNA". From Rfam's summary of the family: Transfer RNA (tRNA) molecules are approximately 80 nucleotides in length. Their secondary structure includes four short double-helical elements and three loops (D, anti-codon, and T loops). Lineage: Eukaryota; Filasterea; Ministeriida; Ministeriidae. The record is from RNAcentral.
AGGUUCUAAGUUCAAAUGGUAGAAUGUUCGAUUGAUAGUCGAAAGGUAAUUGGUUCAAUCCCAAUAGGACCUA